Manacus vitellinus (golden-collared manakin) is the source of this 250-nucleotide long non-coding RNA. RefSeq lists it as uncharacterized. The transcript has 3 exons. Lineage: Eukaryota; Metazoa; Chordata; Aves; Passeriformes; Pipridae. The record is from RefSeq and is a predicted model, not a curated record.
AAAGUGACGUGCUGGAAUUCCACUGGGAGAGAGGUGGCCUGUUCCUUUAAGAAGGGCAGAGAAACUUCAUACAGCAAAAGGUUAGUCUGGCUUCCAGCAGAGGCAGAAGUGAAUAACAAGCCAAUCAACAUACAAAAUAUUGAACAGAGCAGCUCAGCCACAGCCAUCAGCCAAACAUGAGAUUAGUGUGUGGUUGCAGACAGGACGGAUCUUCCUGUCAUAACCUUUCUGAAUUGAGAAGAGCCAGACA